This is a non-coding RNA of Danio rerio (zebrafish), 391 nucleotides long. The record is from RefSeq and is a predicted model, not a curated record. NCBI's taxonomy places the organism in Eukaryota, Metazoa, Chordata, Actinopteri, Cypriniformes, Danionidae.
GUGAUUUUGUGUGGAAAGUUAUUUUUAUACUGUUAUAUUGAUGCACAGUAUGUUUUGUUCACGACAUGUUUGAAAUAUCUCACUUUUUGAGCAGUAUUCGUGAGGCUGCGCCUUCAGAAAGUACACCUGUUGUUGAGAUUUCGUGUGCAUUUUGUCUUUGUUCGUGAGGCUGCGCUGUCAGCAAGUACACCUGUCAUAGUGAUUUAGAGCGGUAGGUUAUUUUUAUCCUGUUCUGAUAAACAGUAUGUUUUGCUCACAUCACAUUUAAAAUAUUUCACUGUGUGUGCAGUAUUUUGUCUGUGUGCCUGACGCUGCGCUGUCAGACGUUCAUCCAUUACAGAGAUUUUGUGCGGUAAGUUAUUUUUAUUGUUACAUUAAUGCUAAGGUCACA